GUGGGGAAUUUUGGACAAUGGGCGCAAGCCUGAUCCAGCAAUGCCGCGUGUGUGAAGAAGGCCUUCGGGUUGUAAAGCACUUUUGGCAGGAAAGAAAUAGCGCGUGCUAAUACCAUGCGCGAAUGACGGUACCUGCAGAAUAAGCACCGGCUAACUACGUGCCAGCAGCCGCGGUAAGACGUAGGGUGCAAGCGUUAAUCGGAAUUACUGGGCGUAAAGAGUGCGCAGGCGGUUUUGUAAGACAGGUGUGAAAUCCCCGGGCUCAACCUGGGAACUGCACUUGUGACUGCAAGGCUAGAGUGUGUCAGAGGGAGGUGGAAUUCCGCGUGUAGCAGUGAAAUGCGUAGAGAUGCGGAGGAACACCGAUGGCGAAGGCAGCCUCCUGGGAUAACACUGACGCUCAGGCACGAAAGCGUGGGGAGCAAACAGGAUUAGAAACCCUGGUAGUCC
RNAcentral lists this ribosomal RNA (450 nucleotides) under uncultured bacterium. Its description in RNAcentral is "partial 16S ribosomal RNA". It matches the Rfam family "Bacterial small subunit ribosomal RNA", at positions 354 to 796 of the family's 1533-position model. The record is from RNAcentral.